This is a long non-coding RNA of Equus caballus (horse), 1910 nucleotides long. NCBI's taxonomy places the organism in Eukaryota, Metazoa, Chordata, Mammalia, Perissodactyla, Equidae. The record is from Ensembl.
CCAGCCUCGGGUCCGGGUUUUCUUCCACUCCUAGUGCCCCUAGUUUUCCCAUUUUUGUUUCUUUUCGUCUAGCCCUUUCUUUGCCCCCCUGUUUUGUUUCCAGAUUUCCUCUCUCGACAGGGUGUGCACACAGAAGGUGCUCAAUAACUGUUUGCUGGAUCGGAGUGGCGCGCUGAUGUGGGCUGAGGACGCUGGGCCGCAUUCACCCCGGGUCUGGCGCGAAUUGGCGGCGGGGCUCCGGACACUACUUCGGGUCCAGCCCAGUCCUUUGAAAUCAGUUGCUUGAUUAUCAAGAGAGGGCAGAGUGGGCAGGGGGAUCCCGGGCCUGGUCCUUUACGGAUCAAUUUCCUUCCCCGGUGGGGAACACCGGAUCAAUCACGCUAAGUCGCCACCUACCGCGCCAGGAGGAGUUGCCGCGCACGCCGCCUCCUCUGCGCCUCCCAACAACCCUAGAAGAUUUUUUCCCAAGGGAGGUGACCAUGGUCCAGAGAGGUUACGUGAUUUCCCUAAGGUCACACAGCCAGUAAGGGGCGGAGUAGGGAUUGGAGCCCUGAUUCCACUCCGGGGCCCACGCUUUCCCCGCCAUGCCCAGCUCCCUCUCCUUGAGGGUCAUGUAUUGCCUGGAUGGCUCUUUGGGGCCGGAAAAGGCCCGCGAAGCGCGCGUGUCGCUGGAAACAGGCAGCGUGGAACCGACCCUAGCUCUACGAAUUUAACUCGUUGGUGCCCUGACCACGAGCAAACGCCAUCCCUCGGGAAUAAGAGGGACACCUCACCUGCCCUCAAUGCUGUCUGUGAAGGCGUUUUCCUUUUUUGGGGAGGAGACAGAAUCCUCUAUCUGCAAACUCAGCUUCUGGCCGCGCUGGCAGGACCAAAAGAGGCCGGCGGUCCGUGGCGUGGAACCCCGGGCGGGAAUGAGAUGACCGGCGUCAGGGGACCUGGGGCACUCCUAGCUCUGGGCGCAGAUGAGCUGCAGCCUUAAGCCAUGAGAGCGAGUGGGAGCCUCUGAGCCUCGAAACAGCCACGACGCUCCACAGCUCUCGCAGAAGCUUUCACCAGGCCCGGCCGUCUGUGAUGUCUGCGAGAGAAUUACUGACAGGCAUUUCCCCAAAGUGCUCAGAAUGCAGGUGAAUUUAGGAAACUCAACUAGGAUGAACCUAUGAGAAGAGUCAUCGAAGUUGCUAGCGUUUCAGUCCUUUCCUGGCUCUGUCGUUGGGGGAAGGAAGAGCGAUUUUUGUUUGCCGAGCACCCACUGGGUUCCUUGCUCCUGUCCCUUCAUUUAAUAUUCAAUCAACAGCCCAGGGAGAUGGGCGUCCCGUCCCUGUUGUUCAGGGACUCCUGGAGCCCAGGGUGGGUAAGUCAGUUGCUCAAGAUCACACAGUAAAGGAGCCAAUGUUUGGGAUCAAAUUAAGUUCUGUGUGACUCUGAGGCACGUCUCCUUUCGGUCCACCCACAUUUGCCUUAAGUGCCUUUUUUAACACAGUAAUAAGCUCUGAAAGCGCUCGAAGUGGUUGCAAAAAUACACAUCAAGUAAAACACUUAGAAGAAGAAGAAAGAAUGUCAAAAAAAAAAAAAGCAAACAAAAACCCAACAAACCCCAAACUCUCUCCUGGUGUUGAUGAUUUUCACUGACGAUUAUAAAGAACCCAAAAACUCUUAAAAUCGUCUUUGGACUUGUUAAUCAUGGGCUGGUAAGAGAAGGCUAAUGAAAUGUUAUUAGUUUUUUUCUUGUUAAAAUCGUCUUUCAAAUAAUCCCGUUCGUCAUCCGUUUUUUUAUGAGGAACAAAAACAAAUGUUUUCCAAAGCUUCAAACCAAAAUCUCUGUGUGGGUUUCUUGUUUUGAGCCAAAUAUUCCAUGUCUUUUCCCAGCUGGGAAUUCCUUCCCCUCGUCCCUCUGUUGCUCCAAGUCUGAC